Molecule: long non-coding RNA, 2966 nt
Organism: Sciurus carolinensis (gray squirrel)
Lineage: Eukaryota; Metazoa; Chordata; Mammalia; Rodentia; Sciuridae
Exons: 3
Source: RefSeq, a predicted model, not a curated record
UUUAUAGUUGUUUUUCUUUUAUUUUUGGAUAUUCCUUAGGGUUUUUUACAUAUGAGAGCAUGUUAUCUGCAAACAGAAGUAAUUUUACUUCUUUCUUUCCAACAUGGAUGCCUUUAUUUCCUUUUCUUACCUAAUUGCUUUGGGUAGUGCCUCCAGUACAAUGUUGAAUAGAACAAUGAGAAUGAAUAUCCUUGACACUCUCUGAUCUUGGGGGAAAGAUUUCAGCAUUUUGCCAGUACAAAUAAAGUUACUUGUGGGUUUCUUCAUAGAUGUCCUUUAUCUGAUUGAGAAUUGAGAAAGCCCUUUUAUUGGUUUUGGUCAGUGUUUUUUCUUACCAUGAAAGGGUAUUAAAUAUUGUCAAAUGAUGUUUCUAUGUCUAUAAACACUAAUUAUAUAAUGUUUCUCCAUUUAUUUUAUUAAUAUGGUACAUUGGUUUUCAUAUAUUGAACUAACUUUGCAUUCCCGGGAUAAAUCCCACUUGGUUAUGGUAUGUACUUCUUUUUUAUGUUGCUAGAUUUGGUUUACCAGUACUUCAUUGAGGAUUUUUACAUCUGCAUUCAAAAGAGAUAUUGGUGUGCAGUUUUCUUUUCUUAUGAUAUUUUUGUCUGACUUUCAUUUCAGGAUAAUAUUGACACCAUGGAAUGAGUUAGGCAGUUUCCUCCUCUUUUAUUUUUUGGAAGAGUUUGAGAAGGAUAGGUGUUAAUUGUUCUUUAAAUGUUUGGUAGAAUCCACUAGUGAAAAUUUUCUAUCGGUUAUUAAAGUCAGUUUGCAUAGUUUCAGUUUGAGUUUUCAUUUUUUACACUCCCUCUCUACUGUGCAAAGUCAAUAUUGCCUGUGUGUGUGUGUGUGUGUGUGUGUGUGUAUGAGAUUUGUGUUUUUUGUUAUGUACAAAAGCAGAUUCUAUACAGGAUGAAUAUUCAGUUCUCAGUAUAUACUUAUCAGAAAGAACUUUGGAUCUAUCCUGUAGCUUACCAGUAAAGUCAGUAACUUAGGUAAAUUAAGUCCAGUGGGGCCAUUGGUCUUAUCAUCCUAGGCAUCUAUACAAUGGUAUUGCAUAAUAGGAUAUAAAAAUUCCAGUAGAUGGAAACAGUGGCUCUAUACCAAAAAAUAUCAAUUUAUUGUAUAGAUAUGGUUACCCAUGAAAUCAUUGUCAUUCAAAUACUUGGCUGAUUUUACAUUUGGCCUUUUAAAAACACACAUAUUUAUUUUUAUUUUGUCUUUGUACCAAUUAUUACUGCUUACAUAAAGAAUUUUCAGUGAGAAUUUCCUUUUAAGUGUCAAAGUAAUUCCAUCAAAGCAUUUAAUGGUUGUCAAAGCUUGGGCAGAGAGAGAAUGAGGUUUGUGUGUGUAUGCAUGUGUUUUAAUUCCCUUUUCCAUUGUAAUAUGUUUCUGUUCCUCUGGUUAAAAUAAAAACAAAUAAUAUUUUAAAUAAAAAACAUUUAAUGGGUAUGAAUUUGCUGACAUGUAAAUAAAUAAUAGGGAAAUAAACACACAGUUUUAAACUGUUCACUAGGUUUAAGAAAGAGUUAAAGAAUAAAUAAAAAGAUUUAAAGAAUAAACCUGAUAAACAUUUCACCCUCCCAAAAAAUGAGACUCUGACUUUGUCUUGUAGAGUUCAGGAAUGCUCCAGCAUUAUUUAGGCCAGGGGAGCAAGAAAACCUUUUCUAAUUCACACUGCAGCAGGAAACAAGAACAAGUGUUCACUGCAACUGGAGGCAGGUUACAGGAUACUCCAAACAGUUUCAUAAGAUAUGAUCAUUCAGUAAACAAUGCAUUGUUAACAUUGGUGACUGAGCUGUGAUACUUGUCCUCUGUGGAUGGUGUGCUUAACUCUUAUAAACAAAGUCUAGUCUUUUCUUACUGUGUUCAUCUACUUAAAGAAAAUGUUAAUUAAUCAAGAAAACUUUUCUAUUUUUUUUCAUGUUAUUCUCUUUCAACAAAAUGCUGAGCUCAUAAUAUAUAUUGAGGAUGUGAAGGAUAGUGACACUGUGUGAAGAGGAGGGACAGAAGUAAAUAUGACUGUGGUUCUCACUGCCUAUGAGCUCUCAGCCUAGUGGGCAAAGAUGUACUGCGCUAAGGCUCCAAAGCAGGAGAAGUUCACCACCUUGACUCAUGUUGAAAUUGCCUGGGAAGCUUAAAAACGGCAUCUCAGAUGAUCCUCAGAGAUAAUCAGAAACUUAUGAUGUCAUGGGAGAAAUGGACAAGUAACCAGAUGAUUAUAAUUCAGUGUGAAAAGUCCUGUGAUGGAAGUGAGUGUGGGGAGUGAUGAUCCUUCUUCCCAUUUUAUAGAUGAAGAACCUGUCUCAAAUGUUAAUGGAUUUGUGUCAUAGUUUGGUAGGUGACAGAGCGAGGGUAGAAAUUUAGGUCUGUCGGAUCUGUCUAAUUUAAACUAAUAUAUUAUGCCUCCCAACUGGGGGAAAAGGUCAGAACUAGGACUAUUUAUUUUCAUUAUUUUAGAAGAGAAUUCACAAUGUUUUUGUAUCUUCUAAUAUUAUAAACCACUCACAUGAAUUUCUAAAUAUUUGCAAGUGAACAAUUAUAAGAUAGGAAGAAAAGUACUUUCCUGUAUUUAUAUUCUCAAAAUUUCAAAUGACCUGCAUACCUGUAAUAAAAGGAUAUUCUGCAGAAACUGUUUUUUUUUAAUCAUGAUUCUUUUGUCUCUUAAAAUAUCCAUUUAACAUAAUUGGGCUAUGUAUAUUUACUUAUCAUUAUCAUGAAAUAUAAUAAUAGUGAAUAUAAUUCUGUAAUUCAGGGUGGAGACCUCUUUGAUAAUGUGACCCAUAAUGAUUAAACCUUGAAAUAUGUACUGCCAUGUAAUUUGGACAUACCUCAGGCUUUCUCAAAAGUGCCUUUCCAGUUAGACUUUUUUGUUUUUCUGGAGACUUCACAACAUCCUCUAUUUUUUUUUAUGCAGGAAACUGUAAAAAUAUGAAUGCAAAAUUUCUCUUUAAAUUAUUCUAUUUUAG